CAGGUGGGGCAUGGCUGUCGUCAGCUCAGUGUCGUGAGGUGUUGGGUUAAGUCCCGCAACGAGCGCAACCCCCCUCCUCUGUUGCCAUCCCGCAUUGGUUGGGACUUUUUAGAAACUGCCCCGGUAAAAAGCGAGGGAGGUUUGGGGACGUCAAAUCUUCAUGGGCCCUUUGUCCGGGGGUACACACAUGCUACAAUGGGCAGUACACAGGGGGGCUACAGGGCAACAGGACGCUCUUUCUAAAA
Molecule: ribosomal RNA, 245 nt
Filed under: uncultured bacterium
Lineage: Bacteria
Description: partial 16S ribosomal RNA
Rfam family: Bacterial small subunit ribosomal RNA
Source: RNAcentral